UCCGACCGCAUGAUCAUCUCGAGUAAAACCAAAAAAAAAGUUGCUAAAUUUAUCGGUCGAAAUAAUUGUUUGUAUCCAUUGUUCGUCCUCAAUUGUUUUUGUUCUCUUUGUGUAAAAUAAAACCUCUCUUUCGAUUAUGUGUAUUUGAGUUUAAAACUAGCAUUAGAAGUUUCUCUUACACAAUAACUUCAUCUUGUUAAUAAUUUACCAUCUUUACAGCACUAAAAUAUAUCUUAGGAAGAAUAUUAGACGACACAAAAUACUUGCACAUUACCAAUUUAGAAAGUCUGAAGAUUAUCAAUAAACAUUGAAAUAAAUUCAUAAAUGCAAGAUUAUUUAUCUUUUCCAAGAAGAUAAAUUUAAAUGAAAACGAAAAAAUUGGCCGUAAAUCGAUCAUCAAUCAAUCUGAAUUCCAAACAAGGCUUGCAAAUGAUUGUUAGUGAUAUUUAUGGAGGAAUGUGUAUGUAGAAUCAUAAUGAUCAGGCCGAAGACCCAAAGCCCAAAUAUGUUUAAUACAGUAUAUAUUUCUUAGCUAACAAGUUUGUAAAAUAAAUAUUCCUUCCUUGAUCAAGUAAAGAACAACCAAGUACGAGACCACAGAUCGUAUUUAGAGUAGUUUCGUAUCCUUCGGAUUUAUCUUAAUCUUCAAUAAUCUCAGCGAUGUCUUCUCUCUUCUUCCGCAAAUUUUAAUUUCGUUUUUUUUUUCCUUUUUUACAAUAACUAAACUUGAUUAAGUUCAAUAGAUAGUCCUCUGAACUGAUUCAUCACAGAGUCUCCGUUAUCGAUUCAAUCACACCCUCAAUGUCGACCACCAAGCCCCAAAGAUCUCCAUCCGAAAUCGAGGACAUAAUCCUCCGCAAGAUCCUCCAGCUCGCUUACUGGCUUCUGGUUUGAUGUUAUAGUCAUCCUCCCGGUUCCGCAGGUUAAAACCUUUUUCAGAACAAUCCUCAAACUAUUCCAAUAUUAUUAAAAUAACCAUAAAUAUUUUAUUAGUGUCAAUUAAGCCCCCAUGAAGCAUUUGAAAGUGUUGUGUUUUUUUGCAGGCUGUGUUUUGGUUAGUGGUGCCAAAACUGAUAAGAGAAGAGAAGGUUAAGCUGAUAAUGACGAUCCUUCUGCUGAUCUUCUUGUUCCAGUUCCUCCCCAAGAUUUAUCACUGCAUCUGCUUGAUGAGAAGGAUGCAGAAGGUCACUGGUUACAUUUUUGGGACUAUUUGGUGGGGUUUUGCUCUUAACCUCAUCGCGUAUUUCAUCGCUUCUCAUGUAAGUCCUCUAAGGCUGCACAGAAAACAACUUCUAAGAGGAGAAAUGAUACUAAAGAUGGCCCUUUCAUGGAAUCUUUUUGUGUGGUUACAGGUAGCUGGGGGAUGCUGGUAUGUUCUUGCAAUACAGCGUGUGGCUUCUUGUAUCAGACAGCAGUGCAUGAGGACUGCGAACUGUAAUCUGAGUCUGUCUUGCCAAGAAGAGGUCUGUUACCAAUUCGUGUCACCCAGUAGCACAAUUGGGUUUCCAUGCGUAUCUGGAAACCUCACCAGUGUGGUUAAGAAGCCUAUGUGCUUAGACUCUGACGGACCAUUCCGAUAUGGUAUCUACGGUUGGGCGCUUCCGGUCAUCUCUAGCAACUCUCUUGCCGUUAAGAUACUUUACCCUAUCUUCUGGGGGUUAAUGACUCUCAGGUACUUUCAGAGUUUCAGGUUUCCACGCUUAAUAACCUCUAAUUGUCAAAUACUGACUCUGAUUUGUGUGUCGCGUUUUACAGCACAUUCGGGAACGAUCUUGAGCCCACAAGCAACUGGCUUGAGGUUGUUUUCAGCAUAGUUAUGGUCCUUAGCGGGUUACUACUCUUCACUCUCUUGAUCGGAAACAUUCAGGUAAACUAUGCAAGGAUAAGUCUCUCCUUCUAUUAUAUAUUUUUAUUGAUGGAAUCAUAAGUUUUUAACAACUUGAUUACUUUCUUUUGUAGGUGUUUUUGCACGCGGUGAUGGCAAAGAAGAGGAAAAUGCAGAUACGGUGUAGGGAUAUGGAAUGGUGGAUGAAACGUAGGCAGUUGCCUUCUCGGUUAAGACAGAGAGUUAGGAGAUUUGAGCGGCAGAGAUGGACUGCCUUGGGUGGAGAAGACGAGCUGGAACUUAUACAAGAUCUGCCUCCGGGUCUUCGAAGAGAUAUUAAGAGAUAUCUUUGCGUUGAUCUCAUUAACAAUGUACUAGAACACAAACCUUGGAUGAAUCUUGUUCAGAUCUGUGAAAACAUCAACGGUCAAGUCUCUGAUAAUAUCUGUUUUUUUUUUCUUAGGUGCCAUUGUUCAGGGGCAUGGACGAUUUGAUCCUAGACAACAUUUGCGAUCGUGCUAAGCCUCGUGUCUACUCUAAAGACGAAAAGGUACUCGUCGCAUCAUAAGAGUGUUUUUUUUGUCUUUAGUUUGUAAAAUCUGAGUUCUUGGUGUUAUGUUGAUUGUCACAGAUCAUCCGGGAAGGAGAUCCUGUACAGAGAAUGAUAUUCAUCAUGCGCGGGAGAGUGAAACGUAACCAGAGCCUAAGCAAAGGCGUUGUAGCCACUAGUACUCUCGAACCAGGCGGUUACUUAGGGGACGAGCUACUCUCAUGGUGCCUACGGCGUCCAUUUAUCGACCGUCUUCCUCCUUCCUCCGCAACCUUUGUCUGUCUCGACAACAUCGAGGCGUUCUCCCUCGGAUCCGAAGAUCUUCGGUACAUAACCGAUCAUUUCCGCUAUAAAUUCGCAAACGAGCGCCUUAAGAGGACUGCAAGAUACUACUCCUCAAACUGGAGGACGUGGGCUGCGGUGAAUAUACAAAUGUCGUGGCGCCGGUACAGGAAGAGAACAUGUGGUGGUGUAGGCGGUUCGAUGAGUCCUGUGUCGGAACAUAGCGUUGAAGGUAACAGUGAACGCCGUUUGCUUCAGUAUGCAGCAAUGUUCAUGUCCAUCCGACCGCAUGAUCAUCUCGAGUAAAACCAAAAAAAAAGUUGCUAAAUUUAUCGGUCGAAAUAAUUGUUUGUAUCCAUUGUUCGUCCUCAAUUGUUUUUGUUCUCUUUGUGUAAAAUAAAACCUCUCUUUCGAUUAUGUGUAUUUGAGUUUAAAACUAGCAUUAGAAGUUUCUCUUACACAAUAACUUCAUCUUGUUAAUAAUUUACCAUCUUUACA
Molecule: long non-coding RNA, 3155 nt
Filed under: Brassica napus (rape)
Lineage: Eukaryota; Viridiplantae; Streptophyta; Magnoliopsida; Brassicales; Brassicaceae
Description: long non-coding RNA (BNAP_LNC008933)
Source: RNAcentral